RNAcentral lists this long non-coding RNA (2251 nucleotides) under Triticum aestivum (bread wheat). RNAcentral describes it as "long non-coding RNA (TAES_LNC015845)". The record is from RNAcentral. Lineage: Eukaryota; Viridiplantae; Streptophyta; Magnoliopsida; Poales; Poaceae.
AGUAAGUAAAAGAUGUAACUGGAAAUAUAAUGCAAUGUGGAUUGUAUUACAUCAUGUAUUAACCACAAAUCAUGAAAUCAAUACCAGAGAACCAAAUAAUGUCACCACCUCUGUACUAACAACCAACAUUUUAGCAUAAGGAGUAUCACAGGAGUGUUUAAUUGCACAUCAAGAGUAUCACAAUUACAACUAAAGAGGCAUUGUCCUCACUGCUGUCCCUGAGCCCUUCACAGAGUUUCAAGCCUCGCAACUUCUUCCUCCAGCUCUGCACAUGACCCUCGGUUACGAACCUCAUCCCUCAACUAUGAUUAUUUCAAGAUGAAAUCAACAUGCUAUUUCUCUCACAUGGAACAUGUUUAGAAUUUAGUCAGUCUCGCUAAUCUUUCAGCUACAAAGGCAGAAAGAAAAAUGGCAUAAUCAAUAACUAAAAAAAAAACUGGAACAAUAAUGCUUGUAACAAUAAUGGCUAUAUUUUUAUCAUCAAAUUUCAACAAUAGAUAUCUCUCCUCCUAUAUCCCUCAAAGAGCAAAAAUAACAAAAUGAACUUUGAUGUACACAAACACAUUCAAAUAAGCAAAUCAGAGCAAGGCAAUAUGCAUCAUACCUUCAGGAUGCCAAGCGGUCGAUUAGUAAUGCUAAAAUGAACCCAUCAGCAUACCUCCCACCUAAUUUUAUUGGCCCUAUCUCUUCUUUCUCAAGUCUGCACUCGUUCAACCAGUAAUCCAAUUAGUUAUACAUGCACACAAUAAUCAAUAGUUUCCCUUCUCCCUAUUUCUAAUUUGGAAAAAUCACUAUAUUUUUCCCCUAUUUGUAGUUUACACUGAAAUCUGAAACCAGUGUGUGGAAGUAUGUUUAAACACCCAGCCAAAAAUCUGAGAAAAGCAAAAUAAGAAUUUGAAUGCCCAAGGAAAAUUAAACUUGCUCUCUCUCCCUAUUCUCAGCCAUACAUGCACCAGACAACAUAUAUAUAUAUAUAUAUAUAUAUAUAUAUAUAUAUAUAUAUAUAUAUAUAUAUAUAUAUAUAUAUAUAUAUAGAGAGAGAGAGAGAGAGAGAGAGAGAGAGAGAGAGCGAGAGAGAGAGAGAGCGAGAGACGAUCAAAUAAUUUUAUAGGUCCUCCUUGACUUGGCCGCUUCAAGCUGUGCUAGAAUCCAUGGGAUGGCAGAACACCUUUUUUAGUACAAGCACACUGCAAGCCACCAUCCACCCUUGCUUAUUAAUGAAAUAAAAUAAAGUAUUCCAAGAACAUGGAACAGUUAUAAAAAGUACCGAUAUCAUGUAUGCAUCGUUCUGAUGCAGAGGCCGGGGAUCUCCCCCUUUUCGAAAAAAAAGUAUAUAAUACAAAAAUAAAUAUUCUUUGGAAGGAUAUAGUCAUAGAUAUAUCAAAUAGACAUAGUAUACGUUCCAAUGAUAAUGUCAUACCUGUAGAAGAGACAUAUCCUCAAGAAACGGUGCUCCAAAUGAAUAUUGCCAUAUUUGUCCAUAGUAAAUAAUCCAUUACAGCAGAAAUCAGAAGCCAACAUCAGUGUGGUUCGCAAUAAGAGGAGGCCAUUCUGUUCAUGCCUAGCAGUAGCACAACAGCGACAUGAAGACAACCUACUUUACAUGGCAAAAGAUCCAAGUAAGAAGAAAAUCUAAUGUCAUAUAUGGAUACACUUGAGUUGUUAUAAAUACUUAGGAAUUCAGGAUGGCAAAUUUAAGCAAGAAAAACACACUGGAGCUGUUAUAUUUACUUAGGAAUUCAGAUUAUUGCGUUUCCUAUAGAGGCCCUAUAACCUGAAUAAACGUAGCUGCACAUAAGAUCAAGUAAAAAAAAGCGUUAGUAAAUUCAUGAAAGGAAGAUGUGAACAUAAAAGUCAUGACAGAACUGUCUAGAUUUUGUAUCAGCCAGUCAUAUAUACAGGACCAAGAAGACUGCACCCAAAGUUUGAUAUUUCAAUCAGCUUAAUUAAUAAUUAUUUGGCACGCAUCUUUGACACAGCACUGCCUUUAACUGUGUUCUGCGCCACAGAAAACACAAACUAAAAUUGAUAAAGUUGAGAAAAAUAAGGGUACAUAUAUUGCAUUAGUAAACAAAUAACAAUAGAAUGUACUUUUAUGUAGAAUUAAAAGUGUGGAGAGAAAAUAAAUAAACCCGAGGGAAAACUAUCUAUUAGUCCUCAUAAAUCAAAACACAACAUCUUCAUGCUUUCUCAGUCAACAGUCUACUCAAAUGUAAUUAAUAUAUAGCAGAUCAAUGACAAAAACACGUGC